RNAcentral lists this ribosomal RNA (254 nucleotides) under uncultured bacterium. RNAcentral describes it as "partial 16S ribosomal RNA". It matches the Rfam family "Bacterial small subunit ribosomal RNA", at positions 524 to 776 of the family's 1533-position model. The record is from RNAcentral.
UACAGGGGGGGCAAGUAUUAUUCUACAUGAUUUGGCGUAAAGGAUAAGUAGGUAGUUUCUCUAAUAUUAAAAAAAAUUCUAUAUAAAAGUUAUAGGUAGUUUUGAUAUAAAGUGAAACUAAGAGUUUACAAAAGAUAAUAGAACCCACCAAAGUAACAGUGAAAUGUAGUCAGAUUGGGGGGAAUUUCGAAUGGCAAAAGCAAUUAUCUAGAUAAAACUGACACUGAAUUAUGAAGGUAUGGGGAGCAAACAGG